RNAcentral lists this unclassified non-coding RNA (468 nucleotides) under Clonostachys candelabrum. Its description in RNAcentral is "sequence contains ITS1, 5.8S rRNA gene, ITS2". The stretch from base 156 to 309 matches the Rfam family "5.8S ribosomal RNA". The record is from RNAcentral. Lineage: Eukaryota; Fungi; Ascomycota; Sordariomycetes; Hypocreales; Bionectriaceae.
CGAGUUUACAACUCCCAAACCAUUGUGAAUCUUACCUUUUCGUUGCUUCGGCGGGAUCGCCCCGGGCGCUUCGGUGCCCCGGAUUCAGGCGCCCGCCGAGGGACCCAAACUCUUGUAUUAUAGUGGAUUUCUGAGUGGAUUACACAAAUAAUCAAAACUUUCAACAACGGAUCUCUUGGUUCUGGCAUCGAUGAAGAACGCAGCGAAAUGCGAUAAGUAAUGUGAAUUGCAGAAUUCAGUGAAUCAUCGAAUCUUUGAACGCACAUUGCGCCCGCCAGUAUUCUGGCGGGCAUGCCUGUCUGAGCGUCAUUUCAACCCUCAUGCCCCAGCGGUGUGGUGUUGGGGAUCGGCCCGCCCGGGCCGUCCCCUAAAUCUAUUGGCGGACUCGCUGUAGCCUCACUCUGCGUAGUAGUGAUAUUUCGCAUUGGAGAGCGGCGAGCCCCUGCCGUAAAACCCCAACUUCUCAGG